UUUUUGUUUAGAAAUGAGGUCUCACUUCCAUACUAGCCAAACAGUAUUGAAAAGUAAAUACAAAAUUAGAGGAGUGGCACUUCUUGAUCAAGGCAAUGUGGUAGUGGCAUAAGGAUAGACAUAUAGAUCAGUGGAAUAGAACUGAGAGUCUAGCAAAAAACUCCCAUUUACAGUCAAUUGAUCUUUGACAAAGGUGCCAAGACAAUUCAAUGGGGGAAAGAAUGCUCUUUUCAAAAAGUGGUGCUGGGACAAGUGGAUAAAGCUAUGAAACUCCUGGAAGAAAACAUAGAGGUAAGUCUUUGUGAUCUUAGACUAGGCAACAGCUUCUCAGAUAUGACAGCAGAAGUACAAACAGUGAGAGAAAAACCAAAUGAAUUGGACCUCAUCAAAAUUAAUAACUUUUUGUCUUAUCUACUAUGUGCCAGGCACUGUGCCAGGUACGCUAGGACAGUUAUCUCAUUUAAUCUUCAUCGCAUCCUUGCAGGGACAAAAUGUCAUGUCAUCCACACUUGGAGAUGAGAAAAUCAAGGUUCAGGUGGGUUAAAUAUCUCGUCUAAGGUUAAACCAGGAUUCCUGAGCCCAGUCCAGUGCUCUUCCCAUCACCCCCAAGAGCUGUUGCCCACUGUUGGCUUUCACUCAUGAUCAAAAAAAUGUCCACACCCACUGCCAGCUAAGAAAGCACUUGGCUUUUACCUAACAGUGGAAAAAGAAGCUUGCCCCCUUUGGAGACCAAUUUAUUAGACAGCACUAACUGGCUACAGUUCAGGUUGGGCACAUGACGCAGGCUACUCAGCAGGCAUGGCAGCAUCUGCCUGGCAGCAAGCGCUGGGACAAAAUUCCAUCCUCUAGAGACAUCCUGGGCCAUGUUAAUCUCUGCCUAAGACAGGAAUGACUCUUCAGCCCAGGUGCCAUCUAUUCAAAUAGGAGGUUCAUUGACUACUGGGCAUAUUUGUUUUCCUUGAGGUGAGAGGAGAAUGGGGUGAGAUGAUCAGGAAAUAAACAGAAGACUGUAGAAAGAACUUUUAAAGUAAGUGAUCUUAGUAGUUAUCCUAGAGAGACACUCCCACGUGAGCACACAGAGGCAUGGAUAAGUAUGUUCCUUGCAAUAUUGCUUGUGUAACCGGAAAAUUGAAAACAACCUAAAUGCCCAUCAAUAGGGGACAGGAUUAGAAAUUACUUGCACUGAUACUAUGAGAAAUAUUGAGGUAGAUCUAUAGGUACUGACUGGCAUGGACAGAGCUCCCAGACAUACUGUGGAGUGAAAAAAAUCAAGUUGUAGAAAUAUACAUACAAUAUGAUGAUACCAUGGAUAUACCAAAAAAGACCACACAUGCUAAUCCUAUGUAUUACAUUGAGUAAAUGUAUGUCUGAGUGUAAAUGUGCAGACAAAAGACAGGUAACAGUGUUUACUCUGGAGAUGAGGCUGCCAUUGGGGAUGGCGGGCAGAGGACUAUAGCUUUAUCUAUAAUUAUUUAUUUAUUUUACUCCAACUAUGUAUUCCCAUAUUUCUUGUGCAAUUAAAAGUUAUGAAAAUUUUAAAACAAAAAUUUAAACACAAAAAGUAAUAAAUAAAGGUAAGGUUGUUACAGUUGUAGAGGAAGUUGAAAGCUUAUUCCUCUAAAUGAUUUCAACUAACGAUUUAAUCUUCACAGCAACUCUUUCCAGAGUGAGGGGGAUGAUAUAGAGAGAAGGUUGGUGAUGGGAAGAUUAGCUAAGAUCAGUAAUAGACCUUCUGAAAUGGAGGAAGAAGAGAAGAUAUGAAGAUUCAGAGAACUUAAGAGCUGGAAGACAAUUUCAAGAUUGUCUGGUCCAAUCCCUCCUUUUUCAGGCAAGGGGGUUGGAAACUAGAGGCGAAGUGACUUGUCCAAUGUCAAAGGGUCAGCUAGUAGCAGAGAAGGACAGAAACCCUGACCCCCUCAUCUCUGGCCCUGCCCUGUCCCACCUGGCUAUGGAGGCAGGCAUGUUAGCAAGCAGCUGUGUGCUGUGUUUACCUGUCUGCCUCUACGCUGUCUCCUGGUUCUCAAGCCACCAAUGAAUACUGAGGUUUCUGGGAUUCUUGCUUUUCCUGCCUCAGUUCUGUAUUUACUUCUUUAUUUCUCUGAAUCCACCCUCCACCCCUUGACUUCCUACAGUCUCUCUCUGUCCUUCUUAUCCCUGAACUCCAGUGGCCACAGGGGCUUUCCCUACCUUGGGCCAUGGUAGCUGCCUCCGGUUCCUGGGAUGCUCCCCACAGAACAGCUGGGCGGUCUGGAGCUUCAGCAAACUGGUGCCAGAGUGUCUACUUCCCCUUCCAUUGGAAGCCUCCAGGAGAACCGAAGGCGGGGCUGGACUGCUGCACUGCCACCUGAUUACCGAGCAGAUCACAACUGGUUUGCUCACUUGCC
RNAcentral lists this long non-coding RNA (2384 nucleotides) under Homo sapiens (human). Its description in RNAcentral is "HSALNT0219445". The record is from RNAcentral. Lineage: Eukaryota; Metazoa; Chordata; Mammalia; Primates; Hominidae.